RNAcentral lists this transfer RNA (74 nucleotides) under Morone saxatilis (striped sea-bass). RNAcentral describes it as "tRNA-Thr". It matches the Rfam family "tRNA". Rfam says of the family: Transfer RNA (tRNA) molecules are approximately 80 nucleotides in length. Their secondary structure includes four short double-helical elements and three loops (D, anti-codon, and T loops). Further hydrogen bonds mediate the characteristic L-shaped molecular structure. tRNAs have two regions of fundamental functional importance: the anti-codon, which is responsible for specific mRNA codon recognition, and the 3' end, to which the tRNAs corresponding amino acid is attached (by aminoacyl-tRNA synthetases). tRNAs cope with the degeneracy of the genetic code in two manners: having more than one tRNA (with a specific anti-codon) for a particular amino acid; and 'wobble' base-pairing, i.e. permitting non-standard base-pairing at the 3rd anti-codon position. The record is from RNAcentral. Lineage: Eukaryota; Metazoa; Chordata; Actinopteri; Moronidae.
UUGCAUUAGUAGCUCAGUGUAGAGCGUCGGUCUUGUAAACCGAAUGUCGGAGGUUAAACUCCUCCCUCUUGCUC